GACAUCUCUUUCCAGAUACGGUUGCUUUGUGAGGUUUAUGCUUAUCUGAAAGUUGAGAGGAUGCAGUACAACCUACAAUAGCCACAGAUGAGUUAGAAAGCAAACUGGAAAGCAAAUUCCUUAUCAGAAGGAACACAAGCAUCUGUGUGUGUGUGUGUGUCUGUGUGUCUGUGUGUGUGUGUCUGUGUGUGUAGCACUUUUAAGAAGGCACACAUGACAGACUCUCACUUCUCAGCUCAACACUUAAAAAAAAAAUUAAUUCACGCCAAGUGCGGUAGCACACGCUUUUAAUCCCAGCAAUCAGGAGACAAAGGUUCAAGGCCAGCCUGGUCUUCAUAGCAAGUUCUAGGAUGGCUGGGACUAUAUUGAGAGAGACCCUGUCUCAAACAAACAAAUAAACAAGAGUCCAGAUCCUAGAGCAUCCCUCUGUGAUGUCACAAAAGAAGUGAAGGCUUUGAGAAAACACCUUCAAAAGGAGCCAUGACCAGGCAUCCCCAAAGAGCCCAACUAUCAGGAAACACCUUUAGGACUUAGAAGAGGGGGCCAUGAACACUUGGUUUAAAUGGCAGUAAUGUACCAAGACGUCUGUACCUAUAGACAAGGACAGCUGUGCUACAUGCACCUGCAGGACAAAGCAUUGUAGGAGAGGUGACAUCAGAGCUCAGAAUGUUGAUUCCUGGGAUUGAUUCCUGUGUUAGCUCCCUGUGGCUGUUGUAACAAAUGAUCACAAACGCAGUGGCUUAAAACAAUAGGAAGUCUCUCUCUUAUAGUUUCUAGAAAUCCAAAACCAACAUAAUCAGGAUAAGAUUACUGUAGCAGCAGGUGGUGGCGCUCCCUUCAGAGGAUGGGGAGGAGUCUGGCAGCUCCUAGUGUUCUUGGCUCACGGUUGCGUUCUCCAGUCUUCAAGGAUACUAUAAAUUCUUUGGCGUCUCUGUACCUCUACCUGUUUCUGAUGGAGUUCCAGCUCUGAUGCCCACUCUCAGAGCUCUACAAAUUGGACUUUGACUUCCAUCUAUGUUGCUUUACUUGGAGCUGAAUUCACACUCGCCAUAAACACCGGGAAAACAGGAUGGGAAAUGAUAUUAAAACAGCUUUCAGACAUCUCAAGGCAGGCACUACAGACUGAAAGCCUCCUGAGAGAAUGUAAAUGAACAAGGGGAAACUGCCAGCACCCUAGCUUUCUUCAGGGCCACCUUUAG
This 1199-nucleotide long non-coding RNA is filed under the name Mus spicilegus (steppe mouse). Its description in RNAcentral is "lncRNA (ENSMSIG00000030033.1)". Lineage: Eukaryota; Metazoa; Chordata; Mammalia; Rodentia; Muridae. The record is from RNAcentral.